AUGGUGGACAAGAAUGCUUUGUGGGCAGGUAAUUUAGUAGUAAAGGAGAUUAUGGUGAACAAAGUACAGUCUAGUUCACCUGAAAGAGUGACUCAGGGAGACUUACUGACUUGGGCUGAUUCCUUGUGUUUUUCUCUGGAGGACCUUGUUUGAAAAAAGAAAACAAACAAAAAACAAAAUAAGUAUUAGCAAUCAUUUACAGUUGAUUGGCCCUAGAAGUUCUUGUCUAGCAGUGAACAUUUAUGUUGUCUAGGGCACUGCUUUAAGCUCUUUAAAACCAUUAUCUUAUUAAUCAUUCUGAUGUUCCUGGGCAAAACCCCCUGCCUUUAAUAAGUGUGGAAAUUAGGUUCAGCGCUGUUAGGUGACUUGGCUGUACACAAAGGCACAAUAUUAAGAGAGGAUGAUAACUAUCGCUAGAUCAACUGUGCAUUAUGUUUUAAAUUUAGAAGCUUCUCAGGAUAAAUGAUGGGAAAAAUGGAACCUAAAGGAAAUGGUCCUUUGAACGCUGGCUUUGGCUGGUGUUAGCUGUGGGAUCUGGACUGGGAGAGCUGCCCCUUUUUGUUGAUAAGAUUAAUAUACCCAGCCCAUCUCGGGGCUGUCUCAAGGAGUCAAAAUGAGAUGAGACACAGGUAUAUAUAGUCUUUCACAUAAUACUUUGAGCAUAAUUUAUUCGGAGGAGCAAAUAGAAAUUACUAAGAGGCUUCAAAAUUUUUUUUUUCUUAUCUUAAGCUAACAUUUUAUCUAUUGUAGUUCCACUGGACUUAUUUAUAGAUUUGGUAAUGACUUGCAGUAGGUGCACGCUGAAUAGCAGAAGGAGAAAAAUGACACAUUUUUUCCUUACAUUUUACAUGACUAGUAGUAAAACAGAAUCCUUACAAUACCACUAACGGGUAUAUUUAAAUAAUUCAAAAUGUAUUUUUAUUUACAUAUUUCAUCAGUAAGUUAAGUUCUUUUUUAAACAGUAAGCAUUGUAGUUUAGAAACAUUUGUUAUACUACAUGCGUUCGAAUCCCGGAUUAGUUACUCAUUCCUUAUGAGUUGUAUUUUUGACUGUAUGUGUAUGGUCAGCCCUUUGUAUCUUCAGGUUCUACACCCAUAAAAAAAUUACAAGUCAAAAAUGUUCGAUAAAAAAUGUUGGCACUAAAUGUGCACCACAAACUGUCUUUUCUUGCCAUUAAUCCCUAAGUAAGAGUACAACUAAUAUUUACAUAGCAUUUACAUGUUAUUGGAUAUUAGAUGUAAUCUAGAGAUGACGGAAAGUAUAUGGGAGAACGUGUAUAGGUUAUGUGCAAACACUACACUGUAGUAUAAGGGACUUGGUGUUCACUGGGGUUGUGGAACUAAUAAACCAAAGGACACGGGAGUGAAGACUGUAUAUAUGAAUACUGUCUGUAAAAGUAGAAUUCUGAGACCUGUGUUUUAAAUACUGUAAAUGUUCAAUAAGAAUAAGAUUUAUUGUAAGUUGCAAGUUACCAAAAAUGUAAUAAAUUUAAUAACUUCUUCCUUCAAGGAUUCAAAUUACUUCAUUAUAAAAUAUAUUAACAUAGUACUUGUGUUAGUAAUAUACAAAUAUAAGAAAAC
This is a long non-coding RNA of Chinchilla lanigera (long-tailed chinchilla), 1580 nucleotides long. Lineage: Eukaryota; Metazoa; Chordata; Mammalia; Rodentia; Chinchillidae. The record is from Ensembl.